AUUACGUGCAGCAGGCGCGAAAACUUUGCAAUACACGAAAGUGUGACAGGGUCAUCCCGAGUGCCGACCGCUGAGGUUGGCUUUUACCCAGUCUAGAAAGCUGGGGGAAUAAGGAGAGGGCAAGUCUGGUGUCAGCCGCCGCGGUAAUACCAGCUCUCCGAGUGGUGUGGACGUUUAUUGGGCCUAAAGCAUCCGUAGCUGGCUGAACAAGUCCCCUGUUAAACCCACCGAUUUAAUCGUUGGUGUGCGGGGGAUACUGCUCGGCUAGGGGACGAGAGAGGCAGACGGUAUUCCCGGGGUAGGGGUGAAAUCCUAUAAUCCCGAGAAGACCACCAGUGGCGAAGGCUGUCUGCUAGAACGCGCCCGACGGUGAGGGAUGAAAGCUGGGGGAGCGAACCGGAUUAGAUACCCGGGUAGUCCCAGCUGUAAACGAUGCAGACUAGGUGUUUGGACGGCCACGUGCCGUUCUAGUGCCGCAGGGAAGCUGUUAAGUCUGCCGCCUGGGGAGUACGAUCGCAAGAUUGAAACUUAAAGGAAUUGGCGGGGGAGCACAAU
RNAcentral lists this ribosomal RNA (555 nucleotides) under uncultured archaeon. RNAcentral's name for it is "bacterial SSU rRNA". It matches the Rfam family "Archaeal small subunit ribosomal RNA", at positions 325 to 882 of the family's 1478-position model. The record is from RNAcentral.